RNAcentral lists this ribosomal RNA (468 nucleotides) under uncultured bacterium. RNAcentral's name for it is "partial 16S ribosomal RNA". It matches the Rfam family "Bacterial small subunit ribosomal RNA", at positions 28 to 507 of the family's 1533-position model. The record is from RNAcentral.
GACGAACGCUGGCGGCGUGCUUAACACAUGCAAGUCGAACGGAAAGGCCCUGCUUUUGUGGGGUGCUCGAGUGGCGAACGGGUGAGUAACACGUGAGUAACCUGCCCUUGACUUUGGGAUAACUUCAGGAAACUGGGGCUAAUACCGGAUAGGAGCUCCUGCUGCAGGGUGGGGGUGGGAAAGUUUCGGCGGUUGGGGAUGGACUCGCGGCUUAUCAGCUUGUUGGUGGGGUAGUGGCUUACCAAGGCUUUGACGGGUAGCCGGCCUGAGAGGGUGACCGGCCACAUUGGGACUGAGAUACGGCCCAGACUCCUACGGGAGGCAGCAGUGGGGAAUAUUGCACAAUGGGCGGAAGCCUGAUGCAGCAACGCCGCGUGCGGGAUGACGGCCUUCGGGUUGUAAACCGCUUUCGCCUGUGACGAAGCGUGAGUGACGGUAAUGGGUAAAGAAGCACCGGCUAACUACGUG